AGUGAACGCUGGUGGUAGGCCUAACACAUGCAAGUCGAACGGCAGCACAGUAAGAGCUUGCUCUUACGGGUGGCGAGUGGCGGACGGGUGAGGAAUACAUCGGAAUCUACUUUUUUGUGGGGGGUAACGUAGGGAAACUUACGCUAAUACCGCAUACGACCUACGGGUGAAAGCAGGGGAUCUUCGGACCUUGCGCGAUUGAAUGAGCCGAUGUCGGAUUAGCUAGUUGGCGGGGUAAAGGCCCACCAAGGCGACGAUCCGUAGCUGGUCUGAGAGGAUGAUCAGCCACACUGGAACUGAGACACGGUCCAGACUCCUACGGGAGGCAGCAGUGGGGAAUAUUGGACAAUGGGCGCAAGCCUGAUCCAGCCAUACCGCGUGGGUGAAGAAGGCCUUCGGGUUGUAAAGCCCUUUUGUUGGGAAAGAAAAGCAGCAGGUUAAUACCCCGCUGUUCUGACGGUACCCAAAGAAUAAGCACCGGCUAACUUCGUG
This 492-nucleotide ribosomal RNA is filed under the name uncultured bacterium. RNAcentral describes it as "partial 16S ribosomal RNA". It matches the Rfam family "Bacterial small subunit ribosomal RNA", at positions 29 to 507 of the family's 1533-position model. The record is from RNAcentral.